RNAcentral lists this long non-coding RNA (1498 nucleotides) under Capsicum annuum. RNAcentral's name for it is "long non-coding RNA (CANN_LNC008836)". Lineage: Eukaryota; Viridiplantae; Streptophyta; Magnoliopsida; Solanales; Solanaceae. The record is from RNAcentral.
CUUGGCUUUUAGUCCUUCUCCUAACUUUUCUUCUCCAUGGUUCACUAAUAUUUUCUCUUUAAGUAGUAGUAGUAGUACUAGUAGUGAAAGUGGCAGUGGAAGUGAUACUUUUUCUGAUGCAUCUUAUAGAUCUCAUUUCUCUUCUUUUUACUCUUACUUUUUCCCUAAUUCUUCACAGAAAGUUCAAAAUUAUACUAACCCUAAUCCCAAAAUGGAGUCUUGAAUAAACCCUUGAAAGAUUCUGUGAAUAUGUCAGAAGUGGCACUCAUUACAAAGAGUUUUAACAACAAUUUUGCAAACAAUCUAAAAUCUUUUAAUUAACCAUAAAUUCGUCAAGCCAAGCAAAAUCAAUAGUACCAUUAGUCAUCCAAAAACCACUCUGAAAUCAACCAAAAACCGCAAAAUAUACUAAGCAAACCAAUACUUGUCUAACAUUAAGCUCAUCUAUGCAAACAAAUGAACUACAAAACAAACACUGAAUAGCCAACGUAAAAUGGUAGAAGGAAAAAGUAAAGCACAAAGUAGACUUGGCAGAGAGGGAAGGUGAGUUAGCAGUAGUUCUGGCACAAGCGUAGCUGAUCUGAUUAACAAUUUGCUUCCCCAAGUUCACGAGUCCAUGGCUCUGCAAAUUGGCGGCCAUACAAUAUACACUUUAAACAAGUCAACAAGACAGUAUAGCAUAUCCAGAACAAAAAAAUAUUGAUUUGUUGAACCUCUUUUAUUCUUUCACUGUGGAUAAUCAACUUCAUUGGCUUUCUGUUGAAAUAUUAUCAUUGGCUUAGUAAAGGCUAGCAACAACUUUAUACCAUUCACGACCAGUAGUAUACCAUCUUACAACUCUCAAACAAGGUCACUCAUACAAGAAGAACCAAGAUCGACUAGAACUUCCACAAAAACAGAACCAUCCAAUUUGUAAAUACACUAGAUAAACCUAGCUAUUGACUUACUAAUGGAAAACAAUAUCUGAAAACUAAGAUAUAACUUAGUCGAGUCCUGUAACAGAGAACAAUAAUCAUUUAGGACAAUUUCUACUUUUAAGCUAUCCAACUCAUUUUACUCCAGCUUCGGUACAUAUAAAAACCAGUCAAAUAAAUUCAUAAAUGGCAUAACGAAGGAAUGAAACGACGCUAAGAACAAAAAUAAUUUUCUUAUCAACCCAAAAUUUCAAUUAAAAGGAUUCAAUAUAUGAAGAAAAAUUAGUUGUAGAGGGAUCAACACUUACUAUAUACAUAAAAAUAAUUUUAAUCAUAUGUAAAUAGUAUAUUUUUUCAUCAAAAGAGGUUUCGAUAUAGAAGAAAGACAACAAAUCUCCAACUUGCCAUCGCCGUCACCACCAACUCGCCGUCGUCGUCACCACCAAGUCGCCGUCACCGUCGCCUUCAAACCGUCAAGUUGCGGUAUUCUUUGUCUGAGAUUGUGAACUAGGGUUUUGAUUACAUAUUUUUGAGAGAGAACUAGGGUUGAGAGAGAGAGACGGCAGUUAGAGAAAUGGAAAAGU